UCCGACCAGCGGUGGCUGCUCAGUAGUGUUACCAUCGAUGGCCGCGACAAGUUUUGUCACCCGUCUGACAAUCACUGGCUCUCGGUGUCUAACGGUGGCCAUUGUCGUCGUUGUCAUUUCAGAUCUCUUUUCCAAAUGACGACUUCCUUAUCAGUGGCAAUCAGGUCCAAUCGAGGGGCGAGUACCGUCGCUCGGCUUGGGGCUCGGUGAUGCCAAUCAUCUUUGCGACCAGUGAUGACUAUAAGUAACACAUAGUCACUGUUGCGUCUGGUCGUUUUCGUUCUCUGGUUCAGCCAGUAAUAGUCCAAACGACAAGAAGUCAGAAAGCCCGAGAGUGGGCAUUAUCUAUAGCUUUGCCAAUAGCUGCUGGAUUAGGUACUAGUUAGUCGUUGUGCCUGUGUGAGACCUGUGUUCGUGCGCGGGAUUUGGGGAGACCCUCAUUCAUUUCUAGAUGCAUGUGUAUAUACAUUGGCUAGAGGAUAAAUUAGACGGGGCUCGGAGGGAACCUUCACAAGACACUGGAACGUUAGAAAGCAAAUUUGUAAAGGCCAUGGUCGUUACGGCUGCAGCCGUUACAAUUACUAUUGUCACUUCCCAUAAGGACGUCGAACGGCUGUGUUCAGGCAAGUUACUAAAUAAAUUCACUAGAAAAUGGAUGACGUCAAUUUGAACGUAUGUUGCGUUGUGUGAGGAUGUAUAUGCCAAUGGCAAUAGUUUUUCAUUGAAUGCUUUUUUACAGACAAAGCAGAAAGGGCGCUGAUUCCGUUAGGUUUACGGAGGUAUCUGUUCUUCAAGCGCUUGUUGGGCGUCCGGGCGGAUUAUUAUUAAACAGCGAUGCAAAGCAAAUGGUUGUCUCGUUCCGACCUCGAAGACAAAAACGUAGUGAGUGUAAGAGAACCUGUCACUUCGUGCAGUAUUAAGGCGCGCUGGAGAUUGCUUCGUAGGUCGGUUGACGUGCGUGACUCGGAACGACGUCACAUGCUUCUUGGCCAUCAGUUUUAAGGUCCCAACAUUUGAGCCAAUCUUUACUGGCAUGUUCGAGUAAGAAUCUGGCUCGGCCAGAAAAUAAAAAACAUGCUCAACAGCGAAAUAAGUCAUCUUGUGAGCCUAUCUAUGAAGCCUCGAAAAAAAAAAGCCUGAUUACAAUCGAAUAGCACAGAUCUCCUAGACGGUAAAAAGAUCCUACCGGAAGAGUUACGUUUGAGUCUGCAACCGAAUCUUUCACGGACGGUUAGUACUGUCAAAUUCUAACCGAGACAACACAUUUUUAGACGAUCACUUUUGUCAAUCGUACUAAUAAUUUGCCAUGGUAGUAAAGUGGCAGUCCAACCGUGUUCGAGCUUUGACUCAAGCUAUACGGUGGUACCUCAGGUUUCAAUAAUCUAAAUAAAUCGCGCGUCCAUCUUUAUCACCAGACAUGGAAAGCGUACGAAACCGCUGGAUGGGUCUAGAAAACAAGUACGCCUUGCUACAUGGAACCGAUUGUUGAUAAUGAUACUGAACGAUAAAGAUAGCUUUGGUGUUAUCUUUUAAUAUGUGCUCUCGCGGGCUAGUUUAUUAUCUCAGCAGAGCUGCUCUAUGUCAAUAUCGUCUGCUAGACAUUCACAUGCCGAUGGUCACCAAACGGUAGCACUAAGCGGAAUUACCUCACAAGUACGAUAUGUAGCAUUACAAAUGUCAGAGGAAAAACAAGCCACCACUGUAACUGUUUCUUUUGUCAAGUUUGUUAUCGGCCGCGAGAUUAGUACGACGCCACUAGCGAUGUUAGUCGAAUGCUAUAAACUAGUGAAGUAAAGUUAUCAACGGGCAAGAUAGUAACUUCCAACACUCACAGUAAUUGUACAGCAUCUGUCAUUAGUCUAGGGGUUACGGAAGAUUAAAAAGCCAUUUACGGAAAAUGCCCUAUCUCCCGGUAACGAAACAGAUAUUAAGAUAUAAUUAUAGUAGCAGUGAAACAAAGAUAUAACCUGAAUAAGUCUGCUGGUUGCUAUACAUUAGCAUAUGACUUUUUAUCACUAGAAUAGGUCAGGAUGAUAACGAACUGCCCGUUAAUUUUGUUUACCAUAAUGGCCACACUCUUAAAAAAAGUUUGAAGAUAUCGCAAGGUGGAUUCGAUUCGUAUCUGUUAAUCUGGGGUGAAGACCGAUUUCGGAUCCCCCUGCUUCAAUAAGCAGUUCUCAGCAGGCUGGCUCUCUCGGCUGGUUGUGCAUCGACCCAGUUAAAACAAUUAAUAAAAAAAAAAAAUAGCUUGUCAUACAAAUAAGAAGCCUUCAUUUUCCAAAAGCCAAUAAAAUAACUAUUUGAUAUAUUUGUUUUAUGUUAUUAUUGAACCGUCCCAAACAAUUGAAACAUUGAAAACAAUGACAACGUAUUGUCUGCUUGAAAAAUUUGAA
Varroa destructor (honeybee mite) is the source of this 2393-nucleotide long non-coding RNA. Lineage: Eukaryota; Metazoa; Arthropoda; Arachnida; Mesostigmata; Varroidae. The record is from RefSeq and is a predicted model, not a curated record.